This is a long non-coding RNA of Cannabis sativa, 2366 nucleotides long. RefSeq lists it as uncharacterized. The record is from RefSeq and is a predicted model, not a curated record. The transcript is spliced from 4 exons. NCBI's taxonomy places the organism in Eukaryota, Viridiplantae, Streptophyta, Magnoliopsida, Rosales, Cannabaceae.
AUAUUCAAAAAAAAAAAAAAAUGGAUAACAAAUGACUUUUGUAUUGUAUGUACAUGUUUGGAUUGAAAUUUAAAUUUAGGUUGUUUGAGAGCACAUCACACUACAAGAAUCAUUUUUUUUAAUUUGUUAAUAACUUUGCAAUAGUCUUCCCCUUUUACCUUUCUCUCUCUACAUCUCACCCUAGUUUGCUUCCGCCGGCGUCUUCUGUUCUCCGAUGUUGUUCGUUUUCCUUGGGUGAAUUCACACUUGCUUUCGCUUCUGAACCCUAGUAAGAUUCAUUCCUUUUAAUAUUCUUGUAUAUCUUUUGAAUGUCUUAAUUUUAUUUCAUAAAAUUUGUUCUAGGUAUAUCGUUUGAGGUAGAACGAAAUAUUGAAUCAAAAAGGUAGAAGAGAAAGGCAGUGACUUCAAUAUGUAUAUUUUUGUAUUCGUGCAUGCAAUGCAAAGUAUGCUCAUAUGUUUUUCUGAUCCAAUUUUUCAUUUCAAGUUAGUGUUAGAUUUUGCCUCUAUGACUAACAUUUCUCUCUUCCCAACCUUUUCAGGUUUGGUCCUUUCGAUCUCUUUCACAUUCUAUUUGCGCUAUGUAUAGGUUUUUUUAAUUCAUUUCUUUAAUUAUUUUGAGAAUUUGGUAUGUGAUAUUCUUGUUUUGUGCCACUGGUAAAGGGCUUUAGGGAUUCAAAUGCUUUAGUAUACUCAUCUAAUUUUCUAUGACCAAAAAACAGAGCACAAGGUCCUUGCAUAAGUUGGAAAGUGGUGAGGAAGUCAAUCAGGAAAUGAGAACAUCAGCUGGUUUUUGCAUCAGUAGAUGGUUAGCUGUUUACUUAUCCAAGGGAGCAAUGUUUCUUGACAUGGGAAGACUAUUCACAUGCUAUGACAUUGGAAUUCUCUGUUUAUGUGGUAGCUUCUCUGAAUACCACUUAACUGUUUUAAUAAAUUUUUAAGAAUAAAAUAUAUUCAAAUUUAAUAAGAUUAGUAAUGUGAAAAAAUGAACAGGUCCCAAUAUAUAUAUAUAUAUAUAUAUAAAUAUAUAUAUAUAUAUAGCUGAGAUGUCACCCAAGCAUCUCCAUGGAGGUCUUAUACAAAACUUAAUUAGGUACGGUAAGAGAUUAAUUUCAUCUUAAUUCUGUAUGAGAUGAUCCAUAGACAUCUACUCUGUACACCAUCUAUUCAAUUUUAUUAGAGUAUGGCAUAUGCAUUAUAAUAAAACUCUUUCCUUCCUUUUUGUGUUGAAUGGUGAUAAUUCAUAUUGUUUGAUGUUGUAGUAUCCUUGAGGCUUAAGCAGUACUAUAAGAUGGAUUCUAAUUUUUCCUUUUAAUUGGAUGUGAAAAAUUACAGUGAUUAGUUGCUUCUAAACAUCUUUGUAUGAUAAUAUUUAUGGUCCAAAGAUCGCCUUUAUCAUGAGAAGGGCUGACGACCAGGUUCUACUGCCAGAGAACUUCUAAGGCUCAAUGCUAUGAUAAGUACAUUUAGAUUGGCACAUCUAUGCUUCAAGUCAAUUAUAAGAUGCAAGAAUGUAAUUAUUUUGCAUUCCACUAAUCUAUUUUCUAUCAUGUCUACUUUCAUUGUGUUUUCAGGUUUGCAAAAUGAAGGUUUGUCUUUUAUUAUUUUGUUCAUAUUAGAAAUAAACAUUGAAGAAUUUUGUUUUAUUGAAUGAGUAGUAUAUGUACAAGUUUAUAGCAAGAAAAAUCAACUAAGUAUACACUUGUGCUACUUAAUGAUCAAGGGAACUUACUAUUUUAAUUAUUCCUUUCAUUCUUUCUUUCUAAUGUCCUGCCACUUUUGUUUUUCACUGUUGUAGUAGUAUGAGUUCUGAUUUCAGAUGUUUGGAUUGAGAAAGUAUGGAGCAGGGAGACAAAUGUGGUAGAUGAUACAAGGAUGAUGAAUUGAGCAAUGAAUCGAACAGAGCUGAUGAGGGAGAGGGCAAAGGAGAAGACUCAUUUAUUUGAGUUUUAUAAACAUGAAAAUCUCUUUUUUCAGAAAGGGUGACGCUCAUUCUGCAGCCAGUGUUCCAACCCCUAUUAUGAUCGUUGGGAGGGUCCGGAAGCAGAAUCUCCCGACCGUCUGUAGAAGAGUGUGCGAAGACCUUUGGUACUUUUCCCAUUGAUACUGUUAAUAUGAAGAGAAAAUAUAAUUUCAUCGAUGUUAAAGUAAGCCACUUUAACAACGAUUUCCUUCCUCCUCUGUUCCUCAAAAGGUAUCCACGCAUACUCGAUCAAUUAUUGUUCGUAGAAUGAUGUAAUGACAAUGGUGUUGAAGGUGGGCGUGGUUUAGAUUCGUGUUUUCAUGGAGUUUUAAAGAGUUUAGAUUCCUCUUUUCAUGAAGAAAAAUGGAAUAGAAAGAACGAGCUCAGCUUUUAUUCUGCUAGUCAC